GGAGCACUGGGGAGUAAUGAGAGUACCCAGAGCAUCAGGAGCACUGAUUGUACCAGGGUCACCAGGAGCACUGGGAGCACCGGGGGUGCCGUGAGCACCCUCAGCACCUCAUGCGUGGCACCUCCUGUGCGUGAUGGCUGUUGGCUAACCAGAGCUGGUGGAGGCAGCUUAAGUCUGUUUGACUGUCCCUGUCAUCAUAAGGUUUACGGAUGGUUAAUUUAUUCUUUAUAGCACAGUCAUUGAUGGCUGUUAAAUCACAAAUGAGAGCCAAUAAAGGGUGAAUUGCAGCUGAAAUUACACUGUUUAUAUGACAGCAGAGUGCUGGCUAAAAGAUUCAUAUGCCGCUGAUGAAGUACGUUAUAAAUUUUAAUUACCAUAGUUUGUACAAAUGACAUGUUUGAAAUGCUAUUGAGUAAUGUGACCCUGAUAAUGAAACUAUAAAAUAAAUCAUUAACUUUCUGAAUGAGCUUUUUUAUUUCCAUGCUACAUGAAGUAAACUUUCCAAUUUAUUCCAUUGCAGCCCUCUUUCAAAAAAAUUAAAAGAAAGUGGAGACAGAAGUGUCACCAUCCAGCAGCAGGGGAUGUGGACAUCUGGGGGAGGAGAGCAUCAUGCAGAAGGGGAGAUGGACACCUGCAGGGUGACACAGACAAGCGUGCAGCCUGGACAGAUGGCCACAACCCUAUGGACAGACUCCAUCCGCCCUGCAUGCUAUCCCAUGGCACAGUGCAUGGGGACACCACCAGCAUGCAGCCACAAGGCCAUGGUACCACAAUGAAGGAGUUGUUCUGCAGUCUAAUGGAGGGGGAAAAAAAAGCCUAUAGUGCAUCAUGAAUAGUCCAAAAUGCAAAGAUGACAAUUUAAGUGUUUAAAAUGUACUCAAGGUAAUUCCAAACAAAUUUUAAAGCUAUUUCAGACUAUAAAACCUCUCAGCUAAAUCAUUGGUUAUAUGGCGGCAGUGCUUAUGUUGCAAAAUAUCAUGAGCAUGAAAGGGAAAGUUUUAAAGAUUGCUGGUUAAUCCUUAUAAAUGAGUUAUUGGCGUCACAGAGCCGCAGCUGGAGGAGCUGCCUGAUGGAAGCUGAGCCCACCAGGAGCCCCGUGGCUGUGAUCUGUAGGGUUUGGUGAUGCUGUCCAUGCAGCACUG
This 1142-nucleotide long non-coding RNA is filed under the name Coturnix japonica (Japanese quail). Its description in RNAcentral is "lncRNA (ENSCJPG00005015165.1)". Lineage: Eukaryota; Metazoa; Chordata; Aves; Galliformes; Phasianidae. The record is from RNAcentral.